RNAcentral lists this long non-coding RNA (936 nucleotides) under Homo sapiens (human). RNAcentral's name for it is "HSALNT0305957". Lineage: Eukaryota; Metazoa; Chordata; Mammalia; Primates; Hominidae. The record is from RNAcentral.
ACAUCUGAAAGAGCCUAAUAGCAAGCUGCAGCAUUUUUGCAAUGUGAGAGUGAGGAGCUGAGAUGAAAACCCAAGCUUCCUAGUUCCUAAUCCAGAGCUUGUAGUGUCUUUGUGAUACAGCCUUGCAGAGAGGUUAAAAAAAAAUCCCCAAAUGAAAACUGAUGGCUUAUCUAUUUAAAGUAGAGGCAGCAAAUAACUCAUGAAUUCAUGCCUUUGCUUAUUACGUCCCUUGCAGUGGAGAUGGAUGGAUGAGUCGAUCUAUCUCUGCCUACAUGUCUCUCUGCACUAUGCAAGGAAGAUGAGAUAGGUUGGGGAAAGCAGUGAGGUAUGAUGGAUAGAGGACAUGGCCGAGACUCAGAGAACUGAAGAUAUAGCCCUAGUUCUGCCGACAGAGUGAACUUGAGGAAAAGAAAACAUCAGCACCAGAGCCAAACCUAUUUCUCCGGGGAGAGGAUUCCUGCAGGGGAGGUCUGCUCAUGUUCUGGGGGCUGCCCUCCAUCAUGGCUACCUACCUUCGGAAUGUUUGCUUUCACUGGGCCCUCCUGGAUGGAUUGGCAACUCUUCCCAAGUCAGACCCUGGUAUGCCCUUGUUGGUUUCUAGCAGUUAGCAGGCUGGGCAAGGAGGCGACUGGGAAGAGUCCUCCUCAAUGAACGCAUGCGUGUAAGAGGGAAGGAAUGAACUACGAACAGGAAGUAAAUUUCUUUCCAAGAGAAAAAAGCUGGAAAAAUAAUUGUUCCUCUUGUUUAGAAGAUGACAGCUUUUUUUUUUCUUCAUUAAGCGCCCUUCUCUUCAAAAGACAAAAAAGGUAAGAUUCUCUGGGUCAGAAGCCAGACAGACUUUUUCACAGCUCUGAAAAAGUGAGAACAGCGAAUUCACUUCCCUUCUCCCAAAAGGCAUGUGCCACCGGGUGCUCCUGCUCCCUGCAAGAUCCCUUC